This 68-nucleotide transfer RNA is filed under the name Catenulispora acidiphila DSM 44928. It matches the Rfam family "tRNA". Rfam says of the family: Transfer RNA (tRNA) molecules are approximately 80 nucleotides in length. Lineage: Bacteria; Bacillati; Actinomycetota; Actinomycetes; Catenulisporales; Catenulisporaceae. The record is from Rfam by way of RNAcentral.
GGGUGCGCAGGAGAGGGUUACUUCCACCUUUCACGUGGGUGACGCAGGUUCGAAUCCUGCCGGUCCUG